Molecule: long non-coding RNA, 456 nt
Organism: Amblyraja radiata (thorny skate)
Lineage: Eukaryota; Metazoa; Chordata; Chondrichthyes; Rajiformes; Rajidae
Exons: 2
Source: RefSeq, a predicted model, not a curated record
AUGGAAAGUCGCUAAAAUGUGGGAUUCCUGAACAAUACUUCCAACAGCACACACUGUGACUCUGCACACAAGUCGUGCUUCGCAAUGUCACUUUCAGAGUGCACUUGUGCUUCUGAUGCCGUUUAUGUACAGGGCUGAACUUUAUAUUCGACCUCUCAUAACAUCUGCCGGCUAGAUUUUAUUCCGAGCUUGCAAUUAUCAUAUCGACGGGGUGUCAUUUAAAUCUAAAAUAUUAAUGCAAUCAAUGUAACGUGAGAAUUGGAAAAUGAUGCUUCUCAAUCCAUGCGGUCUGCUUAGCGUUUGUGAAAUCUCCUGAGUGUAGGAAUAGUGCCAACAACACCAUGAGAGACCCCCCCCAAUCAACUCUAAUCUUUUACAGCCAAGCUACUGUGAAAUGAUCUAUUCCGAAUGUAAAUGUUUAUCACCUGAAAUAUAAAAUAAAUGAUUUGAAUGAAA